CCUGUUUGACGAAAUAGUGAUUGGAUAAUUGGUCAGUUAAUUGUUUGUCUGCUGUGAUUGGCUAAACUAUGGUUACUCCCAGGUUUAUUUGAACCUCUUCCAUCCACCACACUAGCACGGAACGUUUGUCUUUCUUGUACAAGUUCCAUUAACACUCAUCAGUAUGACCGUGGAGUGCAGCUACACAAUCGAAAAGGACACCGCCGGCGGUUUUGAGGUAGCUGAAGUGGCAAAUGAUGAUAAAGUUGUGGUGAAGAGAGACAGUGUGCUUACCACUGUACUCUGUCGCAUAUCACAGUUUUGGCCGGUCAGACUAACGAUGCGUGCAUUCCGUGGGUUUUGGUUGCUGCUGGGUUUCUCCCCUUCAGAAGAGAAGUCCUCUGCUGCCCCAGAAGACGGUGACUGCACUAGUCCAGCCCGUCAGUGCCUGGCAGGCCGCAAGCGCCUCAGUCGAGUCUCCCGCAUAUUAUUGGCCAUCCUGCCCCGCCGUAUGCAGAGGGCCCUGGGCUACCCUGUCUGCACCAGCAUUGGCUGCUCAGUAUCCCCAGAGGUGCGAGUGUCUCCCACUAAACCAUGUGGGAAGGGCAACAAGAGGAAGCAGGAUGACCUAGAUGAUGAUGAUGAGGAUGAUGAGGAUGAGCAGACCUGGGUUGAGGCACUCACUCAGGAGCUAGCGGAUGAUGAUGCGCCUUCUGUUGAUCCUGACUUUGAGCCGAGUGCAGUGGAGACUGAUAGUGAGGAGUAUAAUUCUCACAAUGACACAGAAAGUGACAUAGAAGUAUCUGAGAAGGGUGUGGUCGUGAUCGAAGAUGUUAAAACGGAUAUUCCAUGAAGCAUAAUGUCCUUUCAGGUAUAGUUAAGCGGUCUGUCUACUAUGGAUUAGGUGCUCUUCCAUAAGUUUUAUCACGACUUGUAAGCUUUCAGUGGUGCCAGUAUGCACUGUUUUGUAUGUUUGUUCAAUGUGAUGUACAUUUCUACCACUUUUCCCUAAAUAAAAUAUUCUCAUCUUUA
RNA transcript from Esox lucius (northern pike), 1011 nucleotides. It is a transcript of the gene named oogenesis-related gene, with no coding region annotated. The record is from RefSeq and is a predicted model, not a curated record. NCBI's taxonomy places the organism in Eukaryota, Metazoa, Chordata, Actinopteri, Esociformes, Esocidae. The transcript has 7 exons.